GCAGAGUCGUCCUCAAUGCGCAAAUGCAGACCGCGGGCUGUUGUUCACUGGACAGCAGCGGACUUAGCGGGCGGGCAGGUGAGGUCAAAAGACUCUUUACUCAGAAGCCCUUCGGUGUUUCAUGCAGCUGCAGAAUUCUCGAGCUGGUCACAAAAACAAAUCAGUGCGCACUGAAUGUCAGCGACAGAGGGGCUGCGAUGAGCUGCAGAAACGACGGACGAGCAGAGAUCACCAACCAGGCGGACGACUGAAAAGCCCGAGAUGGUCUGAACGUCUACUGUGUCCACGGUGACGGGGAAGGGAGCGUUGGGAGGCAGAGGAGAAGAAGAAAGCGCGGGAGGCAUGUUGGCGGUUGGAUAACAAUGGGAAAGGACAAAGCGAAUGAUCCUGCGCUGAGAUGUGUGAAGUGGGGGAGGAAGCAAAACCAAAAUCGCAGAAAAGGACAAUGACACAGAGGCACGAGAGGUGCGGAGGUGGUAUGUCAGCCAGCAGCAGAGAGAACAAGGGUGUUGUGUAUUUUUAUGCCCGGCCAACGGGUGAUUUCUGCUAGGUUGUUGUACUUGAUGGUCCAUGAAGAACAACAGCUCGAUAGAAAGGUUCCACAUUCGACUCACUGAGAGCAUUAGUGCUAUUUUGAGAUUUAUUGCACUGGAUGUUUUCCAAUUGUGGAGCACUCCUGCAAAAGAACAUUUAACUAAAACUAACAAUGAUAUUUGGACAGGUGAAUUCAAGAUUGGAAUUGGUAUUGUCCAGCGACACAACCUAUAAUGUCUCUUAAAAAAGAAAAUAUGUGCAGGUUAGUAGGAGUAGUAAGCAACGUAAAGAGGGUUUUUAAAAAGC
This is a long non-coding RNA of Gasterosteus aculeatus aculeatus (three-spined stickleback), 840 nucleotides long. The record is from Ensembl. NCBI's taxonomy places the organism in Eukaryota, Metazoa, Chordata, Actinopteri, Perciformes, Gasterosteidae.